ACUUCUCUAGUAUUAAAUUAAUACAAAUGACUUCCAAUCAUUUUAUCUUGGUUAAACUCCAAGGAGAAGUA
This 71-nucleotide transfer RNA is filed under the name Lepidogalaxias salamandroides (salamanderfish). Its description in RNAcentral is "tRNA-Gly". It matches the Rfam family "tRNA". Rfam says of the family: Transfer RNA (tRNA) molecules are approximately 80 nucleotides in length. Their secondary structure includes four short double-helical elements and three loops (D, anti-codon, and T loops). The record is from RNAcentral. Lineage: Eukaryota; Metazoa; Chordata; Actinopteri; Lepidogalaxiiformes.